GAUCCUGGCUCAGAUUGAACGCUGGCGGCAUGCCUUACACAUGCAAGGUCGAACGGCAGCAUGGAGAGCUUGCUCUCUGAUGGCGAGUGGCGAACGGGUGAGUAAUACAUCGGAACGUGUCCGUUUGUGGGGGACAACCGUCCGAAAGGAUGGCUAAUACCGCAUGAGACCUGAGGGUGAAAGCCGGGGACCGCAAGGCCCGGCGCAGACGGAGCGGCCGAUGAUUGAUUAG
This 232-nucleotide ribosomal RNA is filed under the name uncultured bacterium. RNAcentral describes it as "partial 16S ribosomal RNA". It matches the Rfam family "Bacterial small subunit ribosomal RNA", at positions 15 to 244 of the family's 1533-position model. The record is from RNAcentral.